RNAcentral lists this ribosomal RNA (460 nucleotides) under uncultured bacterium. Its description in RNAcentral is "partial 16S ribosomal RNA". It matches the Rfam family "Bacterial small subunit ribosomal RNA", at positions 338 to 795 of the family's 1533-position model. The record is from RNAcentral.
CCUACGGGUGGCAGCAGUGAGGAAUAUUGGUCAAUGGACGAGAGUCUGAACCAGCCAAGUAGCGUGAAGGAUGGCUGCCCUAGGGGUUGUAAACUUCUUUUAUAAAGGAAUAAAACGAGGCACGCGUGCCUUUUUGCAUGUACUUUAUGAAUGAGGAUCGGCUCACUCCGUGCCAGCAGCCGCGGUAAUACGGAGGAUCCGAGCGUUAUCCGGAUUUAUUGGGUUUAAAGGGAGCGUAGAUGGGUUGUUAAGUCAGUUGUGAAAGUCUGCGGCUCAACCGUAAAAGUGCAAUUGAUACUGGCAGUCUUGAGUACAGUUGAGGUAAGCGGAAUUCGUGGUGUAGCGGUGAAAUGCUUAGAUAUCACGAAGAACCCCGAUUGCGAAGGCAGCUUACUAAACUGUGACUGACAUUGAUGCUCGAAAGUGUGGGGAUCAAACAGGAUUAGAUACCCCAGUAGUC